GGAGAGGUAAGCUAAAUGAAGCUAAUAGGUUCAUACCCUGUGUAUGGAGGUUACUCCCCUCUCUA
This 65-nucleotide transfer RNA is filed under the name Rhithrogena sp. XL-2019. RNAcentral describes it as "tRNA-Met". The record is from RNAcentral. Lineage: Eukaryota; Metazoa; Arthropoda; Insecta; Ephemeroptera; Heptageniidae.